GACGAACGCUGGCGGCGUGCUUAACACAUGCAAGUCGAACGGAAAGGCCCUGCUUUUGUGGGGUGCUCGAGUGGCGAACGGGUGAGUAACACGUGAGUAACCUGCCCUUGACUUUGGGAUAACUUCAGGAAACUGGGGCUAAUACCGGAUAGGAGCUCCUGCUGCAUGGUGGGGGUCGGAAAGUUUCGGCGGUUGGGGAUGGACUCGCGGCUUAUCAGCUUGUUGGUGGGGUAGUGGCUUACCAAGGCAUUGACGGAUAGCCGGCAUGAGAGGGUGGACAGCCACAUUGGGACUGAGAGACGGCGCAGACUCCUACGGUAGGCAGCGGUGGGGAAUAUUGCACAGUGAGCGGGAGCCUGAUGCGGCAGCGCCGCGAGCGGGAUGACGGCCUUCGGGUUGUAAACCGCUUUCGCCUGUGACGAAGCGUGAGUGACGGUAAUGAGUAAAGAAGCACCGGCUAACUACGUG
RNAcentral lists this ribosomal RNA (468 nucleotides) under uncultured bacterium. RNAcentral's name for it is "partial 16S ribosomal RNA". It matches the Rfam family "Bacterial small subunit ribosomal RNA", at positions 28 to 507 of the family's 1533-position model. The record is from RNAcentral.